AAUAUUGGACAAUGGGCGCAAGCCUGAUCCAGCCAUGCCGCGUGUGUGAAGAAGGCCUUAGGGUUGUAAAGCACUUUCAGUGGGGAGAAAGGUCAUUCACCUAAUACGUGAGUGAAUUGAUGUUACCCACAGAAGAAGCACCGGCUAACUCCGUGCAAGCAGCCGCGGUAAUACGGAGGGUGCAAGCGUUAAUCGGAAUUACUGGGCGUAAAGCGCACGUAGGUGGUUUGUUAAGCUAGCUGUGAAAUCCCCGGGCUCAACCUGGGCACUGCAGUUAGAACUGGCAAGCUAGAGUAGGGUAGAGGGGUGUGGAAUUCCAGGUGUAGCGGUGAAAUGCGUAGAUAUCUGGAGGAACAUCAGUGGCGAAGGCGACACCCUGGACUCAUACUGACACUGAGGUGUGAAAGCGUGGGGAGCAAACAG
RNAcentral lists this ribosomal RNA (423 nucleotides) under uncultured bacterium. RNAcentral's name for it is "partial 16S ribosomal RNA". It matches the Rfam family "Bacterial small subunit ribosomal RNA", at positions 360 to 775 of the family's 1533-position model. The record is from RNAcentral.